This 386-nucleotide unclassified non-coding RNA is filed under the name Hevea brasiliensis (rubber tree). The record is from RNAcentral. Lineage: Eukaryota; Viridiplantae; Streptophyta; Magnoliopsida; Malpighiales; Euphorbiaceae.
UGCAGCUAUCUGAUCUCCAUUUUAGUGUCCACCACCCUGAUAGAGCUCUUGACUUCAAGAAAAUUGUAGGUCCUGCUCUUCAAAUGAUUAACCCUUCUCUCGUCCUCAUCACUGGUGAUCUCACAGAUGGGAAAAGCAAGGACUUGUUAGUAAUGAAACAAAACGAAGAUGAGUGGCUAGAAUACCAACAUAUAAUUGAAGAUGUUGUGAAAAGAAGUGGACUUGAUAAGAACAUCUUCUAUGAUCUCAGAGGAAAUCAUGAUAUUUUUGGAGUACCCGUUGUUGGUGGUUCAUUUGAUUUCUUUUCGAAAUACAGCAUUAAUGGGCAGUUAGCAAGAAGGGGAAACGUCAACAGUGUUACCCUUGAGAAAUUUUUUCAGUUAAAU